This 3466-nucleotide unclassified non-coding RNA is filed under the name Leishmania donovani. Its description in RNAcentral is "gene:LdHU3.30.1300(CDS-product:Domain_of_unknown_ function_(DUF4139)_putative)". The record is from RNAcentral. Lineage: Eukaryota; Euglenozoa; Kinetoplastea; Trypanosomatida; Trypanosomatidae.
AAUCAAGUACAUAAAAAGACCAAGAAAGACAACAUCGCUUUUCUUUGUUGUUUUGCGCAUUUCUGUCGAAGCGGUGGCCGCCUUCACUUGUGCCCCCCUCCCUUCUUUCAUCUCGUUUCUAACAUCGUGUUCGUCCCCACCUUCGUGCGGAGUCGCCUCGCUCCUUCCCUUCCCAGACUCCCUCUCCCGCAGGCAGGCACCCACCCGUCUAUACACGUGAGUCCCCUUCCAUCUCCCAUUACCAUCCCAGCCGGGCGCUGCCGCCAUGUCGCGCGUCACCCUGGCGCCGAAGCUGGAGGCGGUGACGGUUUACGGUGACCGCGCUCAGCUGACCUUCUCUGCGCCAGUGGUGCUCAAGCCCUCCGCGAGGGUUGUGGCGGUUGUGGAAAACAUCGAGCAAUGGGGCGAUGUGGACUGGGCCACGCUUCAGGUGCGCAUUGGCGAGGCGACGGACCCUGCUGUGGCUGCUGCGGUGCUGCUGCAGAAUAUCAGCCCCGUGCGUGAGACGGUGAGGCAGGACGUGCGCGCGGAUGUGCAGCGGCAGAAGGACGUGAUCAAGCGGAUCGAGGAGGAGCAAUGCGCGUGCGAGGAAGGCAUUGCCGCACUGGAGGAGUCGUGCCAGCACCUUGAGCGGAUCAAGUGCUUUGUCAGCUCCGCGGGCCGCGGUGACUGCGCUGUGCCGCCCGAGAGCGCGGGUCACCUGCAGGCGUACAUGCAGGACCCUGUGAAGUGGGGCGCGAUGGCGUCAUUCUUUGCGACGCGGCGCGCCACGGCGCAGCGCGGGCUCGCGGAGCUGAGGACGAAGUUGGCGGAUGUGGAGGAGCGACUUGAGGAGGCGCAGCAGCGGCUGAGCGACCUCGGCGGCGACAGCGGCGUUCGACUGCACACAAAGAGCGCGCUGGAGGCGACGCUUGUGGUGGGCGCAGGGGUCGUUAGCGGGACGAAGCUGAUGGUGGAGCUGUCGUGCGUUGUCAGCGGUGCGGGGUGGUCGCCACUGUACGACCUGCGCGUGAACUACGCGGAGUCGAAGCUGGAGGUGCUCUACUCCGCGAACGUGCACCAGUGCACGUCGCUGGACUGGGAGAAGGUGCGGCUGCGACUGAGCACUGCAACGCCGCAUGCUGGCGCCUCGCCGCCGCCGCUGUGGCCGCGCUGGACGAUUUGGACGCGGCCGCCGGCGCCCGCGAUGGGCGCGCUGCGCGGCGGGCCGCUGGCGCGCAGGAGAAUGGGAGCGAACUCCAUCUUCUUUACUGCGCCGAAUACGAAGGAGAACUUCGCCGCUCCUGUCACGCCGAUGGUGGAGGCGGCGUGUGUGGAGGGCUGCGGCUCGUCGUCAAAUGCGACGGUGUACGCGAUUCCGGGUCUUGCGACGGUGCGGCACAACAACGCGGACGUGAAGGUGACAGUGGCGCGCGAGAAGUUUCCCGCGCGGCUGCGUUUUGUGUGCGUACCGAAAGUGGACCCGCUGGUGCAUCUGAGCGCGACUGCUGUGAACGCGACGGACUACGAGUUCAUUGCUGGCCCCUCAAAGGUGUUCUACGGCAACACAUUUGUGAACCAGUCGCAGCUGGGGCACGUGUCGCCUGGCGAGGAGUUUGAGGUGUCGCUUGGCACGGAUGAGACGGUGAAGGUGAGCCGGACGCUUGUGCGGCGUGCGGAGUCGGAGAAGACGUCCGUGUUCUCGAGCACAAAGUCGCAGCUGAGGUACCACUACGCGUACACAGUUGAGUGCUUCGCGCUGCCGAGCGAUGCACCGGUGACGGUUGUGGUGAAAGACAACUACCCCGUCUCAGACGACGCGGAUGUCGAUGUGGUGCUCGAGCAGCCGACGGCCACAGCGGCUGGUGAAAACCUGUGCUCUGUUAAGGGGGAGAAAGUGACCGUGGAUGAGGACACGCACGAGGUGGCGUGGACCUUCUCGAUGGCUAAGCAUGAGAAGAAGAACUUUGACAUGGUAUUCGUGGCAAGGUACCCAGUGAAGACGCCGGUCUUUGGGCUGCAGUGACGCGGGCGUUCGUGAAACACGCAGAGGAGCCCUACUAUCGAAGAGCCCGUUCCGGGGCAGUGGAUGAGGGUGCGCCUCAGCUCUUCUUCAGCCGCGCUGACGAUGCAAAACCGGGCUUGCCACUUCCGUCUUGCGCGCUGGCUGUUGACGCGGUGCCCCUUCGCUGCGUUUUGCCUAUUCCGAGUCACCUUAUGGAAGCUUUCACGAGUUCCUCCAUGGAGAGAGAUCGCUUCGCUGUUGUAGUAUUGAUUUGCCGGUGUUUCUCUCUCUGCUCUCUGUGUGCGACCAUCAGCGCACACGGCGGCCCCGUCUUGCUUGCCGCGCUCUUACGUACUUCUUGUUUUGCGCCCCGACCCAUCCUCCCCUUUUUUACUCGUCUUUUUCGGUCCGUUUUUUUUUUCUCGCUGCCAUUUUUAUAACCCCGGAUGACAGGGGGGGGGGCGGGGUGAUGCCGCAGCGCGUGGCAUCUCAGGGCCCAGUGCCCCCACUCUGCCUGGGGAGGCCACGCAGCCCCUCCUUCGUCUCUCCCCCUGCCCAAUGCCGAGCCGCCUGUGGUGGUGGCGCGGUGAAGCACCUGCCACGUGGGGAGGUCAGGGCGAUGUACCGCCCCACUGACGCCGGCGGUCGGGCCCUGGAUGGCGCUGCGGCGGAGCGACCUGCGGCAGUGCACAGGCUUGCGCCACGCAUAUGGUAGGCGAAGCGUCAGCGUGGCUCGAGCGUGUAAUCCCACCCCCGGCCCUCGCACUGCGUACGGGGGUGUGGGGAGCCACCCACCCACCCCUGAGGAGAGAAUGCACCCGGUGGCGCCCGGCAUAGUGGGGGAGCGGCUGUGAGGCGACCUGCGGGGCGCGGGUGGGUGUGCGGUGCUCGAGGCAGGGGGGUGGUGCUCCGACGGCUGAGCCGGGCGCAUUGCUGCACUGGCGUGUCUCUCGCUCUGCAUCGCACGACGCGGAUGGGGGCCUGUGGCAGGGCCUGGGGGGGGGGGGUUAUCGAGAGGCGCUCAGUGAAAUGCACUGUGGCAGUGAAUGGACAGACGCGACUCGAACAGAACCCUUUUCUAUUUGCAUGCCCUUGCCUCUUGCCCAGGCACGGCAAGCGCAACACAGUGUACACUAGAGAGGAGCGCAUACACGACGGAGAGGUGGAGACGCGUUUUUUUUUCUUCUCACCGGCGAUGUGUUGUUUUUCUUUUUGCUUGGGGUAGCGGAUCGUGCUGGUGGUUGCGUGAGUGUUGCUCACCUUAUGCUCUUCUCGCACUUGAGGAUUGUGUGUGUGUGUAGUGCGAUGUGUUUGUGUGUGCGUACCGCAGGUCCCCACAUUUCUCCGCCUUUAGUCGCUAUGCUGCUUGUAACUGUCGCCGUUAGCGUGCCCUGUUUCGACACCUUCUCUCGUCCUUCGCCGUGGCACCGAAGAAGGGGCGUAGAGGCAAGGGGAGGGGAAGAGCGGGGCGGGCGUGCGACC